UAUAAGAACUAUACUCUUGAAACUUGGUAAGCAGAUGUAUUUUGUGAACCGCAUUAAGAUUCUCACACAAAAAUAGAAAAAAAAACAAUAAAUUUUGGGGGUUCCCCAUACUUAGAACUGAAACUAAAAAAAAAUUUUUUCAUCAAACCCAUACGUUUCUAAUAUCAUUUUUUUCUAAACUGAAUAGUUUGCGCGAGAGACACUUCCAAAGUGGUAAAAUAUGCCCCGCCCCCCCUGUAACUUCUAAAAUAAUAUAAUGAUAAAUCUAAAAAAAAUAUAUGAUGUACAUUACCAUGCAAACUUCCACUGAAAAUUGGUUUGUGCGAGAUCUAGUAAGUAGUUUUUUUUAAUACGUCAUAAA
Cydia fagiglandana is the source of this 361-nucleotide long non-coding RNA. RefSeq lists it as uncharacterized. The record is from RefSeq and is a predicted model, not a curated record. NCBI's taxonomy places the organism in Eukaryota, Metazoa, Arthropoda, Insecta, Lepidoptera, Tortricidae. The transcript is spliced from 2 exons.